This is a long non-coding RNA of Centruroides sculpturatus (bark scorpion), 1420 nucleotides long. RefSeq lists it as uncharacterized. The transcript has 6 exons. NCBI's taxonomy places the organism in Eukaryota, Metazoa, Arthropoda, Arachnida, Scorpiones, Buthidae. The record is from RefSeq and is a predicted model, not a curated record.
UAAGAUUAAUUGAAAAUUGUUUAUUCAAUUAUAUUCAUUUUAAAACUUAAUAAUUAUGUUGUUUUAAAUGUAAGCAAUAAUUUUUGAAGCGCCCAAGACAAAGUAAUGCGAUUUAAUGAAAUGAUGCGAUGAAGUGAAAUUCAGGGAAGAAAAGCCCUGAAAAUUUAGUUCCCGAUUCUCUUUAUCAUACCCCAAAACGGGACAAAAGAAUCCGUAACCGAAAUUGAAAUACUGCAUUUAAUGGAAAUGUUCGAUGUCAAUUUGAUUUCAUUCUUGAAAAAACAUAACUCGAAAGGAAAUAAAAAAACAAAAAGGCAUCAUUUCUUAAAUGUCAUUCAACAACUGUGAAAGAAGUGCAUUUUGAAUAUUGAUUUGAAGAAAAUCUUUGGAAGAUUCUGAAUAUAGUAGGACAAAACUAUACAAAUACUAGAUCAUCAUUAUGAUGACUAUGGUGAGGGAAAAUUAAAAGAUGAUGAUGAUGAAUGAAAUUAAUAUGAAGAGUUUUUAGAUAAAAAUUUGUAUGUGUGCCUUCUAAAUCUCCUUUCAAUUAUAAAAUUGUUGAUGAGGUAAAAAUCAAAUGUUAUAAUAACACAUCUUGUUUAUGGAUAGCCUUCAAAGUUUACUGGUCUUCAAUCUAUCAAGACCACUACUUGCAUCUUGCUUGGAUCAUUGGAAGAGAGAUCACAAACAGUACAUAACUGUAUCUAAUUGAAAUGAUCCAAACUCAGCCUGAUUCUACCUUAUGUAACGUUAAAUACUUAGAUUACUUUAAACUUAAAACAUCAACUAGGACUUAUCUAUUAUUAGGACUUAUUAUACUGGAUAACUGGUUCUGCAAAUUAAGUAAACAAAGUCAGAAAAACAGUCUUUAUUUAUCACCUGAAUACAAACACAAUAUCUUUGUGUUUCUGACCUGUUGUCCCCUCAUCAGCAGAUUUACCAUCAACAAUCUCUAAAAAAUUUCAAUUUAAAAUUGGUACAAAAAUUACAUAAAAAUUCCUGACAGUAAAAUAAUUUAAAACUUCAAUUCCUGGGUUUUUAAGUACCUCCUCGAAACUGACAAUAUUUAAUGCAAUAUUCAAUAAUAUCAAUCCAAACAUAUUCCUGCUUUUAAAAAAAUAUAAUUAAUUUAAAAUAAUGAAGAUUGGUUUAAACAUAUUCCAAUAAUAAACUUGCAUCAACAAGCUUUUGCUUUCCCUUGAACAUCGUUUUAACCCCACUUGAUUUCUCCUUUUAUACUUCUCUCUCCCUCCAUAGAUGAUGCUGUUCCAUGAUUAGUCUAGUCCUGUGUUUGUUAUUUAUUCUAUCUUUUUGUUUAACUAUAUAGAUGUGUUUAUACAAUUGUCUUUUAUAAUUUAUUUUUCUCUUUUUGACAAGACUAUGUCUUAUUUAUAAAAUCGUACUACCGGUUUAUGUUACC